This 121-nucleotide ribosomal RNA is filed under the name uncultured bacterium. RNAcentral's name for it is "partial 16S ribosomal RNA". It matches the Rfam family "Bacterial small subunit ribosomal RNA", at positions 1365 to 1482 of the family's 1533-position model. The record is from RNAcentral.
AAUACGUUCCCGGGCCCUGUACACACCGCCCGUCAAGUCACGAAAGUUGGUAACACCCGAAGCCGGUGGCCUAACCCUUUGUGGGGGGGAGCCGUCGAAGGUGGGACUGGCGAUUGGGACU